UUGAAUAAUACCUGGCAGGUUGUAGCUGGCCCUUUGGGGCAUGUGCACGUCUGUCUUGUUUUCAUUCAUCCACCUGUGAACUGUAAGGCUGUCUUGAAAACGAAAGUGAUUAGAGCGCCUGCCCAUUUUAUACAAACAUUAAAGUAACAAACGUAGUCUUAUUAUAAUCUAAUA
This 174-nucleotide unclassified non-coding RNA is filed under the name uncultured Tremellales. RNAcentral describes it as "sequence contains ITS1". The record is from RNAcentral. Lineage: Eukaryota; Fungi; Basidiomycota; Tremellomycetes; Tremellales.